CUGUCAGACAACCAUGUAGCCAUGCCAGGACCCAUCAGAUGGAUUGGCAACGAUCAUCUACUGAGCCAUAGCCGAGACCAUGAAGCUCUGUUAAUCACGCUCUGGCUACAUGGUCGUGAUUCAUCAACCAGACAUGGGUUUCUGUCUUCUUAGGAAUCAAGAAUACAGAGGUACGAGCAUAUAGAACAGAUCCUGUUCAAGUAAGGUCGUGCUUAAUGGUCUCAACAACCAGAAUACAACGCCGAUUUAUCUGCACUUCAGAGGCGAUGUGGGAUGUCGCUUCUAGAUUCUUGGGUCUCCUUUGUUACCUUGUGUAUAGGGACUGGUAAGAAAUUAAGUGGAACUAAUUCACACACGUUUUAAUCUUUACUUACUUUUUAACUGUCUAUAUUUUUGGACAUUUCUCCCUCACUAAAUUAAAAAUAGAGAAAAUGACAAAAAUAGCCAUUUACACUAAUGAGAUUACAAAAAUAGCAAAAAUAAAAAAAAAUCAAAAUUAGAAAAUUAGCCCACAAUUUCGCAGAUGGAGAUGCCCCAUCUGCGAAAUCAGCAUCUCAUCUGCGAAUGUACAAGCACCUAAAGCAGAACUGUGCUUUAGGUGCUUUUAAUUUUUUUUUUUUUUUUUUUUUUAUAAGGGUAAUUUCGCAGAUGGAAUAGGUCCAUCUGCGAUUUACUCUCAUUCUAUUUGCGAAAUUGUGGUUUUUUUUUUGUAUUUUUUUUAGUUUGACUAUAAAAUGAAUUGGUUUGACUAUGAAAUCAUGUUGCUAUAUAAAAAGUUUUGUAGAAAAAUAUCAUUUUGGUUGAUAUUUGUUUAGGAACUUUCUCUACAAUUUGCUCAAAAAAUGAUUGAAUAUUUGGUUUGUCUUGUAACCGGUGGGAGAUGGCAAGUUAAUGGAACUUGAUUUAUAUAACAACCAAAAUGAUAUUUUUCUACAAAACUUUUAUAUAGCAACAUGAUUUCGUAGUCAAACCAAUUCAUUUCAUAGUCAAACUAAAAAAAAUACAAAAAAAAAUCACAAUUUCGCAGAUAGAAUGAGAGUAAAUCGCAGAUGGACCUAUUCCAUCUGCGAAAUUACCCCUAUAUAUACAGAAAAAAAAUUAAAAAAAAAAAUUAAAAGCACCUGCGAAUGUACAAGCACCUAAAGCACAGCUGUGCUUUAGGUGCUUGUACAUUCGCAGAUGAGAUGCUCAUUUCGCAGAUGGGGCAUCUCCAUCUGCGAAAUCGUAGGCUAAUUUUGUAAUUUCGAUUUUUUUGGCUAUUUUUGUAAUGCAAUUAGUAUAAAUGGCUAUUUUUGUCAUUUUCUCUUAAAAAUAUUAUAAUUAUAAUUAUUAAUAAAUCUAUCUCAAGUUAAUAUUUUAUUAAUAGAUAUUAUCUAUUUAUCUUUCUCUUUUGCGUAUAAUCAUAUAUAGUUUGAGUAUUUCAAUUUCUGUUAUUUAUUAGUUAUUACAAAUUUUAUCGUUUUUAAGAUUACAAAAAAAAUAAUUUUUUUUUAUUUUAAGAUUAACUAAAAUUUCAUAAAAAUUGCUUAUCAAUAUAAAAUCAGUAUUAGGGACAUUGGGAAUUUAAUUGCUCACAAUGUUAAAAGCUAUGCUUGACAUAAUAACUUAAAAAUUAACUAAUAGCUAAAAAGUUAAUUGAUAAUAUAUAGGCUAACUGAUAAAAAAUAACAUUUGCUAAAAAUAAUUAAUAAGUUAGUUUGAAAACGUCAAAUGACAUACAAAUGACAUACAUGAGGAUAUAGAAAAUGUAUUUAACAAACAUAGUCUAAAGCUCCAAUGGCAAUAUGAAAAAAGUCAUUGAACUUUGUUUUUGCCUUUAGAAAAUCAAUUGUUAAUAUANNNNNNNNNNNNNNNNNNNNNNNNNNNNNNNNNNNNNNNNNNNNNNNNNNNNNNNNNNNNNNNNNNNNNNNNNNNNNNNNNNNNNNNNNNNNNNNNNNNNNNNNNNNNNNNNNNNAUAUAUAUAUAUAUAUAUAUAAAGUGCUCAUGUGUAUACCAUAAAAAAAAUGUCAGUCUUGCAUAUUAAACCACUUCCUACUAAUGGAAGAUCUUAAGCCAUCAAUAUUCAUUUAUAAAAUAACAAGCACCAAAAUCCUCGCAAUCUAAAGACAACAAACAAGUGUUCCUCCUACUAAACACGAUCGAACAACCAAUUCACGUAUCCUCGGUGUCAGUGAACUAAAGCAACAAAGGGACACCUCUAAAAUCGAUUCUCCAUCAAGAUAAUACACCUACACAACAGAAAUACACAAAAUCUUAUUUGGAUGUGAUGACGGGUCAGUGUUGACACCAGAGCCGCCCAGUGGAGUGUCUCCCAUCAUCGCUUAACAGGAUGCAGUGUCCUGCUGCUCUGAUACCAUAAAGAACCGAAUAAAGGAAAAACAAUAAUUACAAGAAAUCGAUAUUGACAUUGGAUGAAGAAGGGAUGUAUAUAAUCCCAAAAGACAACCGGAGUACAACGAGAUUUCAAAUAAAAGGAUAAAACAACUAGUAAUUAUCUAAUGUGAUUAUCUAAUAAUGAAACGAUAAACUCCUUUUUUAUGAGGCUUUGCCAGAUUCAUGCACAGUAUAUGCUAAGUGUAGCUACUCGGGAGGGAUUACAAACAACUAUAAAUAACACCACCACAAAAUUCAAUGAGGGAACAAGUAAGCAACUAAGUUGAGGCUCAAAUUUCCCAAAGUAAACAAGAAGUCUGACUAUAGGUAUCAUAUGUCAAAAACUACACAUUUGUUGGUAUACCAUGUUCUUAUGUUAUCAAAUGUGGAUUGGGGAUAUUUGUUCAUCUAUUCAACAUUCAAAGGUUGCAUAUAACUCACCACACAAUCAAUUAAUCAUCAAUCUUAUGUUAUCAACACCAUCAAACUUCCUAGCUUCCAUCCAGAAGAGUUGGUAUAUAUUGAAAUCUGGUGUGUUUAUUUAAAGCAUUCCUUUUCUUAAAAAUCAUUUAUAUUAUUGAGAAGAAGAUUAUAUCAUUGCUUAAAAAUCAUUUAUAUUAUUGAGAAGAAGAUUCUCCAUCAAGAUAAUACACAAACACAGCAACAACAAUAACAAUACACAAAAAUCCUAUCCCACAAACACAAAGCUCCCACCACAUUUAUUUUAUUUAUUUCCACAUUCAGCUCUUAAAAAUGUGAUUUCAACUCAUGUCACAAGUGGCAUAUGAAUUGGACCCGAGGGGAAAAAUGGCCAUACAUAACAUAAGUACUGAUAGAGAAAAUGUUGCUUAAAUCUUGAGCAAUGUACAAUCGCUUAUACAUGAAUACAAGUCAUAGUAGCAUUAUUGUCUUUGAUUACCUUGUUACAGAAACUAUGAUUCCAAGUAUCAUAGUAGCAUUGUUGUUUUUCUUAGCUCGUUACAAUGCUAAUGGAACUUGAUGAAGCCAAAAUCAUACCAGAAAGCUCCAGCAUCAUAACCUGGUUCAGGCAUUUAAUCGAACACUUGUUUUGCAUAUACAAACUGGCCACAUAACCUGGAUGAGCAAGAAUAUCACGAAAAUGACAGCAUAAUAAAGACUCUUUGAUCAUAAUCUCCUUCAGGCAUUUCAUCAAACACUUGGUUUGCAUUAGAAAAGGGACCAAAAAAAAGAUGAAGUUAUCUGUCAGACAACCAUGUAGCCAUGCCAGGACCCAUCAGAUGGAUUAGCAACGAUCAUCUACUGAGCCAUAGCCGAGACCAUGAAGCUCUGUUAAUCACGCUCUGGUUACAUGGUCGUGGUUCAUCAACCAGACAUGGGUUUCUGUCUUCUUAGGAAUCAAGAAUACAGAGGUACGAGCCUAUAGAACAGAUCCUGUUCAAGUAAGGUCGUGCUUAUCAGUCUCUCCAACCCUCAAAUAUCGCCGAUUUAUUUGCACUUCGGAGGCGAUGUGGGAUGUCGCCUCUAGAUUCUUGGCUCUCAUGGAAUAAAGGGACUGGUAAGAAAAUUGAGGGGAACUCAUUCACACACUUUAAGCUUUAGUUACUUUUUAAGGGUUUCGUUUUUCCGUUUAAUAUUUUAUUAAAAGAUCUAAUUUAUUUAUCUUUUCCCAUUUACAUAUAAAAUCAUAUAUAGCAAAUUUUAUUAUUUUUAAGAUUAUAAAAAAUUUAAACAUCUUCUAUUUUUCAAAUAAACUAAAACUUGGUAUAAUAUUGUAGAGGCGGCGGUUCCAUGAACCACGACACGGAACAAAAAUUGGGACGGAAUUGAAAUUAUGAAAUCAUAUUUGUGUCGUUUUCAUGUUAAAUGUAAAACAUACUAUGUCAUGUUAUGUUAUAUUCGUCUUCAAAAUUCUACAUGAAAUUGACAAGUUAGUAACAUGUGUUUGUCAUAUUUUCUUAUUUUUCGUAUUGUAUAUUUUUGAUGUUUGCCAUUUUUAUCAUGUUUUAAUUGGGUCAUUAUCAAAUUUGUUGUUAGUGUCUCGAAAAGGAUUGCGGUGGAGAACCGCAUUUCCAAUGGAUCGUGUGAGUUCGCUGUUCAAGCUGAUAUUCUCACUCUAUGUCCGAGUCAUAGGAAAUUCAGUAUAGGAUAAUCCAAAAGGACAUUUGUGAAUCUAGUUACAAAGACACAAAUCAAAUUACUAGACGAUUUUGAGUUCAUUAUAGAACAACAAGAGCUGAGAGACAAGGGCAUAAUUCACGACUCAAUAGAGGAGUCGUAUUUAUUCUUUGACAAAUUAGAGUUUUUGUCUUCUACAUUAGUUAAAAGAAUCACCGACAAGGGCUCUGCCCCUUCCCGCUAGGAGGCGUUGCCCUUAGGACUCUGCAAAAGAGUGUGACCCCUUGACCUAUGUCAUUUUGUCGUAUCGGCUUAUAAUUAAAUCUUAAAUGCACUCCGCAUUCACUUAUAAAAUACAAAUAAUAAGUCAUUCAGCUCACAUAGUAGUUCCAAUUACACAAAAUAUCUUGCGAUACCAAAAUCACUAAACGUAUAAUAUGGAAUACAAAUAAUAAGUCUUUCAGUUUACAUAUUAGUUCCAAUUACACAAAAUAUCUUGCGAUACUAAAAUCACUAACAUUAAUAAACAAAACACAAUAUCAUAUUGUGUUCAUGUUGUAUAAAAGUUAUCGUGUCAGCAAAAAAAUAUAACACAAAUGAGUAUGAAAGUCCAAGAAAAAAAAAUCCAUUUGAAAGGUAAAAACAUCAUCUUUUGAAAGUAGAUCAUCAAUGUAAAGUCCAUAUUAAAGAGCUUGGGAAUUUAUUUGUUCGUGGUGCUUAAAAGAUCGCAUUUUUUUUUCUAAGGUGUGGGGAUCGGAGUAUAUCAUAAAGUGAUUGGACUUUGUUUUUGCCAUUAUGAGAUCGGUUAUUAAAAAAAAAUGUGCUCAUGUGUAUACCAUAAAAAGUGUCACUCUUACAUAUUAAACAACCUCCUACAAGCAAUUACUAACCAUAAAACCCUUUACUACGAAAUAACAAGGAACAAAAUCACCGAAAUUAAAAGACAACAAAUAAGCGUUCCUCCUACUAAACACAAUUGGACAACCAAUCUCGUAUCCUUGGUGUCAAUGAACUAAAGCAACAAAAAGCCAUGUUUUAAAAUAAACUACAAUUUUGUAUAAACAUAAUGAUGUCAAUUCAUAGCACGAAACGACAAAUAUGCACACGAUAGGAUGGAAUUGGGAUUUGAGUUCAUGUUCAUGUCAUUUUUAUGUCAAAUGUAAAAAACACGACGUCCUAUCGUGUUCAGAUUCUAUACGAAAUUGACAAGAUAGUACCAUGUGUUUGUCAUGUUUUUGUGUUUAUCGUGUUUUGUUGGAUUAAUUUUGAAUUGAAUGAACUUAAAGCUUAUUGUAUUGCAUCUUUUUUGUGUUUGUCAUUUAAUUGGUUUGUUUUCAAAUUAGUAGAACAAAACAUGACAUCAUAUCCUGCUUUGUGUUUGUGUUAAGCACGACAAAACUGUUUGAUUUGUCACCCCUUAAUAAUAUGUAUGAGAAGUCCAAGGAAAAAAUUUAUCCACUUGAAAGGUAAAAACCUCAUCAAUCCAUGUGACACCUGGCAUAUGAAUUGGACUUGAGCGCGACUCAUCAUCUGUACAUAAACAAUUACCAUCAUCUUUUAACAAAUUGCCCCACCAAUCGCCACAUUUUUUUCUCCCCUAACACGCCUUUGGCGGGAAAACAAUAGAUAUGCUCUUUUGUCUGUUGUUGAUCGGUUUCAUUUACUGUCCUUGAAUUAUAUGAAAUGGUGGUAAAUAAAGUGAGGUCGUUUGGACAUGUGAAUUUGUCGUCCACAAUUUUAGCAUUCUUUCUCCAUGCAAUCGCUAAACUCGGGGGAAAAUGCCCUUUAUUGGUUUUAGAUUUUCACUUGUAUAAAAAAUAAGAAAUUUCCAUCCAAUCUCUACUCUUUAGUGGUACAAAUUUGCUUCCCAUAUAACAUGGUAAUUAAGUCGCCAGGAGAUACGUAACCAUACAAAGCAGAAACAUCCAAAACCUAUAAACUGUUUUCCGUAAGUCAUAAAAUAAGAAUAUAGAGUAUAGAUUAUAAACAACAUUAUCAAAUUGAGAAAAGUGAUCCUACAAUUUUAAUGAUAAGAUCCAUUCUUUAAAGAAUUCAUAAACUUAUUAUCAACACCCACAAAGAUUACAAACUUCCAAGCUUCAAACCAGAAGAGUUGGCAUAUAUUGAAAAGUUAGGGUGCUUAUUUAAAGCAUUAUUUUCCUUACAAAUCAUUUCUGUUCUUCAAGUACAUAAGAAAGUUCAUAAAAAAUUGUCAUAUUUCUAUUCCAUAAGCAAACAGAUUAUAACAUUGUUUAUUUGAUUUCCUGAGUUUGUUUACAGGUUCAAAGUCAAUGUAAAAAUCAUAUACAAGAAAGUUGGGCAUUUCAUCGAACACUUGCUAUGCAACCAAAAAGAUAUAGUUGUCUGUCAGACAACCAUGUAGCCAUGCCAGGACCCAUCAGAUGGAUUGGCAACGAUCAUCUACUGAGCCACAGGCGAGACAAUGAAGCUCUGUUAAUCACGCUCUGGUUACAUGGUCGUGGUUCAUCAACCAGACAUGGGUUUCUGUCUUCUUAGGAAUCAAGAAUACAGAGGUACGAGCCUAUAGAACAGAUCCUGUUCAAGUAAGGUCGUGCUUAAUGGUCUCAACAACCAGAAUACAACGCCGAUUUAUCUGCACUUCAGAGGCGAUGUGGGAUGUCGCUUCUAGAUUCUUGGGUCUCCUUUGUUACCUUGUGUAUAGGGACUGGUAAGAAAUUAAGUGGAACUAAUUCACACACGUUUUAAUCCUUACUUGCUUUUUAACUGUCUAUAUUUUUGGACUUUUCUCCCUUACUAAAUUAAAAAUAUUAUAAUUAUAAUUAUUAAUAAAUCUAUCUCAAGUUAAUAUUUUAUUAAUACAAAUUAUCUAUUUACCUUUCUCUUUUACGUAUAAUCAUAUAAAGUUUCAAAAUCUGUUACUUAUUAUCUAUUUAAAUAUUUAUCUUUCUCUUUUAGCCCACCCAUCACAUUUUUUUUUCUCCCCUACACACCCUAGGUGGGAAACCAGUAAAUAUGCUAUCUUGGCUGUUGANNNNNNNNNNNNNNNNNNNNNNNNNNNNNNNAAAUGAUUUAUAUAUAUAUAUAUAUAUAUAUAUAUAUAUAUAUAUAUAUAUAUAUAUAUAUAUAUAUAUAUAUGGUAGUUAUACUCAAUGACCAAAAAUGUAAUUUUCUCUAUAUUAUUAUUAAAGUAUAGGUGGUAAAUUACCAUGAGGCUUUGCCAUGCACAGUAUAUGCUAUGUGUGGCUACUCGGGAGGGAUUACAAACAACUAUAAGUGGAGGCUCAAAUUUCACAAAGUAAACAAGAAGUCUGACUAUAGUUAUCAUAUGUCAAAAACUACACAUUUGUUGGUAUACCAUGCUCUUAUCUCUUUUAAAAUUGUAAUUUUUAACAUCUAGUAAAUAACAUAGCAAACUCCAUGCUCUUAUCUCUUUAAGUAAACAAGAAAUCCGACUAUAGUUAACAUAUGUAUAGUUUUGAAUAUUUCAAUUUUUGUUACUUAUUACCACCAAUCUUUUUAUUAGAAAAAAUUAUUUAGAGCAAAUUAUAUAGCUUUUAAGAUGAUAAAAAAAUUAAAUACUUUUUAAUUUUAAAGUAAAGUAAAAUUUCGUAUAAUAUGUAUGAGAAGUUCUAGAAAAAAAAUAUAUAUUUAUCCACCGAAGUCUUACAUAUUAAAUAGCUUUCUAUUAGCAAUCCAACAUUUGAUCUUAAACCAUAAAACCCUUUAUGAAAUAACACGCAAUAAAUCCUCGAAAUCAAAAGGCAACAAAUAAGCGUUUCUACUACUAAAUAAAGAUUAACGUGAUUGAAUUUCUUGAUCCGCUCAAUAAACAUUGACCAUAUAAAUAUACAAUUGGGAUCCUAUAACUAUGGAAAGUUAUACAGAUGCAAUAUGAUCUAUCCCUUAUAUAUGUCGACUAAGAGUCCCCCGCAGUUUGAGCGGGAGGAAGUCAGAUGCUCAAAUUGUCACUGAAAUCCAGGAAUAGUUGUCUGGGUAAACAUUUUGUGAAGAUGUCUGCAUAUUGGUAAGCGGAAGGAACAUUAAGAACUCGUAUUUGGCCAAUUGCAACUUUUUCACGAACAAAGAGUAUAUCCAUUUCUAUGUGUUUGGUGCGCUGAUGUUGGACAGGAAUACAAGAUUACCGGAUAAAUAGACGACAGAGAUAUUAUCACAAUAGAUGAUGGUGGCCUACUGCAACGGAGUGUGUAGCUCAAGCAGGAUGUUACGGAGCCAACAAGCUUCGACAACUACAUUUGCAACACCGCGAUAUUCUGCUUCAGCGUUGGAUCGAGAGAGAGUGGUCUGUCGCUUAGCAGACCAUGAAAUGGGAUUAUCACCAAGAAAUAUACAAUAGCCUGAAGUUGAUCGUCUAGUGUCGAGAUAACCGCCCCAAUCAUCAUCAGUAUAGGAAACAAGUUGUGUAGAAGGAGAACAAGGAGAACAAUGCAGUAUCAAACCAUGCGUCAGAGUACCCUUAAGAUACCGAAGAAUACGCUUUAGCGCAUUAAGAUGAGGGAGCUUUGGGGCGUGCAUAAAUAGACAUAUUUGCUGAACAACAUAGGCAAUAUCAGGACGUGUAAAUGUGAGGUAUUGCAGAGCGCCUGCUAAGCUACGAUAUAGAGAUGGAUCAGACACUGGUUCACCAUUAUGAAGACUAAGAUUGGAGUUGGUGUUAACUGGAGUAGCGACAAGCUUACAUGCUUCCAUGUUUGCACAUCUAAGUAUCUCUUCGAUAUACUUGUGCUGUGACAAAAACAUGCUAUUGUUGGUACGAGUGACAGAGAUGCCCAAAAAAUAAGACAAGAAGCCAAUAUCAGUCAUGUCAAAUUUAUGUUUUAAUCCGGUGAUGAGACGUAUCUUGAGUGCGGUGGAGGAGGUGGUCAAGACGAUAUCGUCGACAUAUAGAAGUAGGUAGGCGAUGUCAUUUCCCUGUCUAUAGAUAAACAAAGAAGUGUCACUUUUGCUGCACACAAAGCCAAUAGUUAGGAGAUAAGAUGCAAAACGUUGAUACCAAGCACGUAGUGCUUGUUUUAAACCAUAAAGAGACUUGCGCAAUUUACAAACAUGAGUAGGAUAGCGUGAAUCAAAAAAUUCCGGUGGUUGGUGCAUGUACAUCGUUUCUUGCAAGUUCCCAUGUAAAAACGCAUUUUUAACAUCCAAUUGAUGAAUGUCCCAACUUCGUCCCAAUGCAAGACUAAGAACUGUUCAUAUUGUGGCGGGCUUGACGACUGGACUGAAUGUUUCGUCAUAGUUGAUCCCAACUUCUUAUGUUUUUCCAUUUACAACGAGGCGCGCCUUGUAUCGUUCCAAUAAGCCAUCCACCUUAAACUUAUGGCGAAAUAGCCAAUGACAAUGAAUUAUAUUGUGAUUCGUUAGUCGUGGCACAAACUCCCAUGUUCCCUGUUUCAAUAAAGCAUUAUAUUCUGUUUGCAUGGCAUCGAGCCAAUUUUGAUCCGUAAGGUCAGCCCUAGGGUUUGGUGGUAUAGGUGAAACGUAUUUGAGUGUGUAGAGUAAAUAUGGUUUUGGGUUUGACAAUCACACUUUUCGACCGUGUUUACAUGUAUGAUGUUGGUGGUGGUGGUGGUGACGGUGAUGGUGGUGGUAGCGAAGAUGGUAGGGGAGUAGGUGAAGGUGAUUGAGGAGGUGAAGGGGGAAGGGUGGGGGAGAAUUGGUUGAUGGGAUAUUGUUAGUGGUUUGUGGACUAGGUGGAGGUGAAGGGGGAUGGGUGGGGACUACUGAGGAGCCAUGGUUGGGGUCUGAGGUUGGUAGUAGGUCAGGGUUAGUGAGAUAUGGAGAUGGAUCAGUGGCAUCUAAAAAGUCGUAUGAUUCGGAUCAGUAUUUGGUGAGAUGAGAAUAUGGAAAAAUAUGCUCGUGAAAGGUGACAUGACGGGAGAUGAUAUGUUUGGCGGUAGAUAGAGAGAGGCAAAGAUAACCUCGAUGGUUGUCAUCAUAGCCAAGAAACACACAUGGUUGGGAGCAUGGUGUGAGCUUGUGAGGGACGGUGGAGGAGGCAUUCGGGUAGCACAAACAACUGAAGGUGUGUAGGUGUUUAUAUGUUGGUUUUCGUAGGUAAAGUAUUUCUGCUGGUGUUUAAUUUUUAGUUGCUUAGGAUGGCAAGAUAUUGGUGAGGUAAGUGGAUAUGUGAAGGGCAUAAUUCCAAUAGGAGGGAGGAAGAGAGGCGUGUAUAAGGUUAGUUCAAAUCAUGUUAUUUAGAGUCCGAAUGAUACGUUCGGCUUUACCGUUUUGAGAGGAUGUAUACAGACAGGUAAACCAUAGUUGUAUACCAUGGUUUUUACAAAAAUCUUUGAACAACCUGUUUUCGAAUUCGCAACCAUUGUCGCAUUGGAAAGAUUUAAUGGUGGUGGAGAACUGGGUUUGAAUUUGAUUUUGAAAGUAAAGAAGUGUAAGAAAAGUUUCAGAGUUUGCUUUUAAAGGGAAUGUCCAUAUGUAGUGGGAAAAAUCAUCAAGUAAAACAAGGUAAUAUUUGUGGUUUAGUUUGCUUGUUAUGGGUGACGUCCAUAUGUCGGCAUAUAUGAUAUCAAAAGGUAACCGUCAAUGUUUUCCCAACGAGCAUGCAUUACAAGAAAACGAAUUGUUUUUAAUGCUAGGUAAUGAAAGACAAGAAUUUAAAUGCUGUAAAUUGGAGACUGCAGGAUGACCUAGACGGAUGUGUCAUAUGUUGGGAGACACAGUGCGAUGAACAAUUGGAGGAUGCUCGUGUGCGGAGGAUGGUGUGAGUGGGUAUAGGUCACCCGGGAUAUCACAUCAGGUGAUAGGUGUCUUCGUGGCUAGAUCCUUCACAAUAAAACCCGUAGUGUCAAAUUCAACAUAUGUAUUAUUAUCACGGUUAAACUUUUUUACUGAAACAAGGUUUUUAAUAAUGUUGGGAACAUGGUAAACAUUGUUAAGUUUGUAAGGAUGGUUAAGGUGAUAGCAUUUCCACGACCAAGAAUUGGGACUCGAGUGCCAUUACCAACAAGAAUAUAGUUAUUAUUAUUGAAACAAGAAUAGUUUGAGAGAUUACCCGUGUCGCUUGCGAGGUGCGAAGUAGAGCCCGUGUCCAUAUACCAAGAUCUAUCCGGAUGAUGCAUCUACAUGGUGUGGAAGGUUGCGGCAAGCUCAGUGGGUGUCAUUGGAUUGCUGUGGGCCAACUGUUGGUUUGUGGUGAAGUUGGCGUGUGCCGCAAUUUGGUCCGGUUGCUGUUGGGUUGCUGGGGGUGGUAAGUGGGUCUAAGGCCCAUAAUUCCAGCCUAAGAGGAUGCUAUUGGAUACGAGGAUGGGGGUGCAGCCCAAGGGUAAGGUGGAAACCAUUCAGGCCAUUGUCAGGUUGGGUGGUAGGAUGAUGAUCGACCGUUUCCUCGAGCGUGUCCUCUGCCGCCACGAGGCCACCUGCUACCGCCACGGUAUCUGCCACAAGCUUGACCAUGACCACUAUAGCCAGAGUUUGGUGUAGAUGAUAUGGUAGGUGUAGUCAGUUUAGAUUGUUGAGUGACAAGAGCGUGGGGAGUGGUGGAAUUGUGUAACACCCCGAGUUCAGAAGUGCAAGUUCAGGGUGCUGGGUGUAAUUAAGGAGGAGCGACUCGGCGAGUCCAUGGAUAGACUCGGCGAGUCGAGUCGCGAUUUUGGUCGCGUNGUGGCCCAACUCGGCGAGUCGGCAGCUGGACUCGGCGAGUUGGUGCUGAAGGGAGAAAAACCCUAAUCAGGGGUUUGUGUCAUAUAUAAAGCACAUUAUAGCCACCCUCAGCCUCUUUACCUUCCCUUUUAGUUCCAGAAAACCCUAAUUCGUGAGGAGACCCCAUUAUUGAGUGAAUUGGAGCUUGGAGGAGGAUAUUUGGUAUUUGAAGCUUAAAGGUUUGGAGGCUUGUAUCAGGAAGCUUGGGGAGAUCAGAAAUCUACAGUUGGUUGGGCUAAUUUCAAGGGUAAGGAACCAUUUCCUUAAGCUAUUUCUUCAUGGAUUCAUGUAUGGUGAUUGAUAUGAGAUCUAAUUCGAGAUAGAAGCUUGGAUCAGAGGAUGCUACUUCAGAUCUAAGCUUGUGAUGGUCCUAUAUGUCAUAAAGUUCCUGUAUAAGAGUUGUUGGUGAAGCCCUUUUGUCCUUAGCCUUAGCCUUAGAGUGUUUUGAGCUUAUAUCUCCUUGGUUUCACGUAAACUUUGCAACUUUAUGUGAGGGCUAGGCUGUAGAAGAGUGGAUCUAUAGAUUUGAGUCCCUGCAUGGAUUAAAAAGCCUCUGUAUGGAAUGAGAACUGAAGAGACUCGGCGAGUUCCAUGGGUGAACUCGGUGAGUUGGAUGAAGGUGUGCAUGAACUCGACGAGUUAGAAGAACAACUCGGAGAGUCUGUUGAAUAUUGCCUUGGACUCGGCGAGUCUGGUCGUAGAGUCCUAACCUUUUUCUGGUUGAAUGGUGAAUCGGUGAGUCGAGGGAUGACUCGGUGAGUUGAGCGAGAAGGAACUCAGAAUUGUGGGACUCGGCGAGUCGAUGGGGCGACUCGGCGAGUAAGGUCACACAGGAAGGUGGACUUGGACUGAGGACUUUGACUUUGACCAAGAGUUGAUCAGUUGACUUCCAAGGGUAUUUUGGUAAUUAUUGGUAUUUAUUGAGUUCAGUCAUUUGAUAUUGAUCAGUGGUGGAGUUCGUGUCGAAGGUUGGAACAGCAUGAUCUUAUCUCUUCAAUGAGCAGUUGCGAGGUGAGUUAUCAUCACUAUAUCAACAGGGUCUAUGGCACCAAGGCCGACCCUUUAUCGGAUGGAAAUCCGGGUAGUUGUUAUGUUAUUGCUUUGCUAUAUGUUUGCAUCCUGGUAGUUAGGAUGGUAUAUGUUAGAGACCUGGUUAAGGUCGGAAUCCUGGUAUAUAGGAUGAUGCUAUGUUAGUGACCGGUUAGGUCGGUAUCCUGGGUAGAGUGUGUUAUGUAUGUGAUCUUCUAGAUCGGUUGAUUGGUGAUAAAUUGCUAUAUGAUUAUAUGUUUAUGUGCACAUGGUUGGUUGACUGGGGUUGGGUUGAGGCGGGUCCUGCUUUGUGUUGUAGGCCAACAUACCCAGGGUGAACCGGAUAUCCCGUAGGCCCAGCGAGCGGUCUGGAUAGGCUGUAGGCCCCACGAGGGCGGACCAGACGUGCCGAGGCUCGGAGAGUGGACCAGGCUGACUGAAGGCCCGGCGCGGGCGGACCAGUCAUACUAUAGAAUUAGAGAGUUGACCAGGUGGGUUGAAGGCCCGGUGCGGGCGGACCAACCACACUGCAGACUCGAUGUAUGUUGCUAGACUCGGAGGGUGGACUAGGUCGGUGCGACGGACCAGUCACACAGUAGACCCGAAGUGCAUGGCUGUUCUGUUUAUGUUAUGAUAUGUUAUGAGUAGGGUAUAUGUGGUUGGUAUUUUGGGGGUAACUCACUAAGCUUUCGGGCUUACAGUUUUCAGUGUAUUGUUUCAGGUACUUCAGGAGAUCGUGACAAGGCGAAGGCGUGAUCGUACCGCUCCUCAUAUUUUAUGUAUUUAUGAUGUGGUUCUGGGAAAUACUCUGAUAAUAAAUGAAUUGAAAACCUUUUUGUAAUGAAUUAAUGAAUAUGGGUUGUUUUUGAAAAGUUUAAAUUGGUUGAAAAAUUCUGGAUGUUACAAAUUGGGUUUGUUGCACCGUGUUUCUUCAAGAAGGAGGGAGUAUUUCGCUUUGUUGAAAGUGGGGAAGGGGUCGGUCUAUUGAAUGGUAGUGGCGAAAUUGUCAUACUCACCUUUGGUGAGACCGAAAACAAGUUGAAGGACCAUAUUGGUUUCGGAUACAGGGUGCCCAACAUUCUCCAGUUGAUCUGCAAGGUUUUUGAGUCGAACACAAUAAUCUGUGAUAUUGGAGAAAGAAGAGAGGCGAGUAUUAUUGAAUUGUUCCUCAAGAUAAACGGCGCGAGCGGUUCGAUUAUUGAUGAAAAUUACUUGAAGGUGUUUCCAGAGAUGAAGGGCCGAGGCACCUGGUUUCAUGAUUGUGUGGGCAAGUUCGGGAGAGAUAGUGCUAUAGUAUUUUGUUUGACAAGAGCAUCAAGACGAUCCCAUGUGGUGUUGUCAACAUUGGUUGGUUUUUCUGCCUCUUCAUCGAUGUGAUCUUUGACAUUGUAAGCACAAACGUGAACGCUAAAGAAUUCCACCCAUGAUGCAUAGUGAUCAUCAGUUUGAUUGAGGAUGAGGGGUAUAGCAUUCUUGAUGUUACUGACUGUGAAAGUUGAGUGGAAGUUAGUUUUGGGAAUGGAUAUAUCACUUUCUGUCACACCCCCGAACUGUCAGAACAGACGGCGGAAACGUCCGGGGGCAGGUGACGUCAUGCGUAGUAUCACAACAAUCGUAUCAUAGUAAUCAAGUAAACACAACCAUUACAUUUCAUAUGAAUAUUUACAUAUGUUUGAAAAUAUAGCUUGUAUACAUCAAAAUGUGACAAAAGUAAAAGACGUGACUCCAUGAUGCUCCGUCUUCUCCAAAAGUUGGCGAGGGUACCUGUCUAUUGAUGUCCUAAGAAUACAAGCGGUUUUGAAAGCAUAUCAACAUAAAGCUGGUGAGUUCAUAAGCAUGUUUUUGUAUUGAAAACUAGUCACUGAAUUUAUACAAAUGAUUUAUUAUCAUUGUAAGUAAAAUAUCGUUUGUAUCAAAAUCCUGGUUACCCCCAGUAUGUAAAAUGUAUUUUGUUUGACAACCAUGGCUACCACCAGUAAGUAAAGUAUGCUCUGUUAGGAAACCCUGGCUACCACCAGUAAGUAAAGUAUGUUCUGUUAGAAAACCUUGGCUACCACCAGUAAGUAAGUUCUUGUUUGAAAGACCCUGGCUAUCACCAGUAAGUAAGGUAGUUUUAUUACUUAAAUUAAAACCAAAUGUUGUAUCCCUGGAAUACCCUCCAGUGUAGUAUGUAGGUAGUCUUAUUACUUAAAAUAAAACUAUUGAAGAAUGAAAAUCCCGUAAACAAAGGUUAGUUUAUACUAUUGUGAGUUCGUAUAACCAUGUUAAUAUGACUGAUGACCUCCAUGACGUUUCUUCAGGCGUUGUAUGUUACAAAAUUUGUCACCCCAAGCAUGUCUGUCUAACAGUAGCUAACAGUUCAGGUGUGGGAUUGUCGGUCCCGAAUAGAUCUAUUCACAAAUCUCACGCUCUCCCUCCAGGAGACUCUGGUUAUACUAAAAGUAGAGGAUUUACCAGUACCCCGAAUGGUACAAUGAAGAGAUGUCUCACAAUCCUGUAUUAACUAGUUUAUGUGUUGUUCUGUUGGUCACAUGUUUGAAAUCAUUUGUGUAAUGUGUAGGGUAUAAAUAACUAUACGCAAAGUAAUUAUUUUAGUAUGAUACUCUUGUUAUCUGUGUGUAAUAAUAGAUAAACCAAAUAUGUCAUAGUUUAUGUGUUCGACUUUGUACGUAGUUUGAAUCUGUAAAAUUGGUAAUGAAUUCCCUAAACUAUACCUAUUAUAGUUUGACUGGUAUGUUAUGUUCAUGUACUUGUUCUGAAAACUAUGCAAUUAUGUUUAGAAAACAUCCCUUAUGCUUUGCAUAUUACAAAAGGGAUAAAGUAUUUAAAUGUUUGAUAUAAAACAGUUGAAAUUGCAUCAGUUUUGACUUAUGAAAACCUUUAUGUUUAGCUUGUAUUCCCCCCCCCCCCCCCCCNNNNNAACGUUUUAAAACUAUAAAAGUGUAAGGGUAUGAACUCAUAGUUUGUUGGUUACAAAGGAUUGAACUGAAAGAUCCUCGAGUCGAUGCACGUGGCACUUAACGGAAUCCUAAUAUCAGUGAAUACAUAUAUGUAUCUAAAUUAGCGAUUUCGUUAGAUAAAAUGUCAGGUAAACACUUGGUUUCGGUUAAGGAAUGUUACCGGGACUUGGUUGAAUCGAGGAAACAGGCUUUUCACCACUUAAGAGCUGUUUACGGCCGUGAACUGGGUUUGCAGCCGUGAACUGGGUUUGCGGCCGUGAACAGGGUUUACGACCGUGAACUGAGUUUGCGGCUUUUGAAGAUUAAAGGGUUUACGACCGUAAACUCAAGAACAAGGGUGCUUGUUUUCGAUGAAAAAGUGUUCCAUAUGCUCCCAAACGGCUCCAAAUGACGAUUUCCGGCGUUUUUCGGGUGAAAGGAGGACUUUUUGGUGUUUACGGUCAAGAGAGUUAGAGAGAGAAAGUGGGUGUUUCCGGCCAAGAAAGUUCAAAUGAGGGUGGGGGUCCUAUAUUUAUAAGUCAGGGGUAUGGUCAGUAAUGGGGUCCACCUGGCACCGAUCGCAAACAGGUUGACGACUGUAAACUCGUUCUAGCCGUGAACACGUCGAAUUUUCGAGAAAUGUGGGUUUUUCGCGCGAUUUUUGAUUUUUCCGACUCGUAUAGAAUUAUAACUAUAACCUUAGUUGAUUUUCUAACCCAAGAAGUUGACGGGAAAUUCAAUAAAAUUAAAUUUUAUUAACGGAGAUGGGUUAAAAAUAACGGAAGAAAUUUUGGGUUGUCACGCUUUCACCCAUGAUCGAUCAAAGAAACAAGAGAAGAAGAAAGAUGAUAGAGGGAGAUAGAGUGGGUUAGGCCAGAGAAAGCUCUAAUACCAUAAAGAUUAACGUGAUUGAAUUUCUUGAUCCGCUCAAUAAACAUUGACCAUAUAAAUAUACAAUUAGGUCCUAAAACUAUGNAUAUAUAUAUAUAUAUAUAUAUAUAUAUUAUACAAAUACAAUAUGAUGUAUCCUUUAUAUAUAUGUCGACUAAGACUAAACACAUCGAACCACCAAUUCCUGUAUCCUCGGUAUCAAUGAACUAAAGCCACCUUUGACCUCUAAAAUCGAUUCUCCAUCAAUAUAUAUACAUAUACGCAACAACAAUGCCAAUGGACCUUGAUGAAGCCAAAAUCAUACCGGAAAGCUCCAUCAUCAUAAUCUCGUUCAGGGAUUCAAUCAAACACUUGUUUUGCAUAUACAAACUGACCACAUAACCCGAAUGACCAAGAACAUCAUGAAAAUGACAGCAUAAAAAAGACUCUCUUUGAUCAUAAUCUCCUUCAGGCAUUUCAUCAAACACGUGGUUUGCAUUAGAAAAGGGACCAAAAAGAUUAAGCUAUCUGUCACACAAACAUGUAGCCAUGCCAGGGACCAUCAGAUAGGUUAGCAACGAUCAUCUACUGAGCCAAGGCCUAGACCAUGAAUCUCUAUUAACCACGAUCUGUUAAUCACGAUCUGGCUACAUGGUCGUGGUUCGUGCCUCUUGGCCAGGCAGCCUUGUCCAGCUCCUUUGGGUUGGCCCGAAGCGUGACCUAAUUGUCCAUUAUAAAGUUAACAAUACCUCCUCCAUGGGGAGGGACCUUACCUUUGGGCUCUACCACCACUCUCCACCUUCAGCCACCACGUUUCUAAUAGCUUUGCUCUGUGUUCUUAGAUCCUCGUUGUAGUAGCAGUCCAGAAUACCUCCUAUAGGCUAUAUUCAUGUGAAUAUAUAUAACAUUUCGGUAUCCUCAAGAGAUUUGAGUCGCAUCAUUCGCGAUAUUUAAGACCAACUUCAACCUUAAGACACAAUAUUAUGGAUCUUGGAAAUGGUCCAAGUCUCUUAUGGUAAUUUUGAAAGAUCAAUUUUUUUUUUCAAAGAAGAGGGUGUGUAGGAUCAAAAUAUAUCAUGAACGAGUUGGAAGAAAGUGAUUGCACUUUGUUUUUGCCUUUAUAAAAUCAAUUGUUCUAAAAAGAAAUAUAUAAUGUUCAUGUGUAUACCUUAAAAAAUAUGAGUCUAACAUAUAAAACAACUUCCUACUAGCAAAUUGUUCUUAAACAAUAAAACACUAUGAAAUAACAAGUAACAAAAUCCUCGAGAUCAGAAGACAACAAAUAUGCGUUCCUCCUACUAAACACGAUCGAACAACCAAUUCCCGUAUCCUCAGUGUGAGUGAACUAAAGCAACAAAGAGUCACCUCUAAAAUCGAUUCUCCAUCAAGAUAAUACACUUACAUAACAACAACAAUACACAAAAAUCUAAUUAGUUAUAUGUGAUAUUAAUGAUAUUUUAAUUGAUAAUAUAUAAUCUUUUAGACUACAUACCGGCAAACUAUUUAAAAGAGCCAACAUCAAUGACACAUGAAAGGUAUUCACCAACUUCUCCACUACAACUGGAAAAUACACAACACCAUAAAACCAACGAGACUGAUAGUUUGUUACCCUAAUCCAACGUGUCAUUGACAUCAUAUCACCUACAAACACAAAACUCCCACCACAUUUAUUUUCUUUAUUUCCAUACUCAGGUCUUGAAAAUGUGAUUUCAACCCAUGUGAUACCUGGCAUAUGACAUAUGGACUGGACUCGACGGCUCAUCCUAUGUACAUAAACAAUUACCAUCAUUUUUUUACCAAAUUACCCCACCCAUACCCACAUUUUUUCUCCCCUAAUAUGCCAUUGAACGGAAAAGUAUAGAUAUGCUCUUUUGUCGAUGAUCGGUUCCAUUUACUGUUCUUGAAUUACAUGAAAUUGUAGUAAAUAAAAUGAUGUCAUUUGGACAUAUGAAUUUGUUGUCUACAGUUUCAGCAUUCUUGCUCCAGUCAAUCAGUAGUACAUUUGGGGCAAAAUUCCCUUUAUUGGUUUUAGAUUUUCCUUGUAUAAAAAAUAAGAAAUUCCCAUCCUAUCUUUAUUCUUUAGUGGUACGAAUUUGCUUCCCAUCUAACAUGGUAAUUAAGUCGCCAUGAGAUAAGUAACCAUACAAAGCAGAAACAUACAAAACCUGUAAAAUGUUUUUCCAUAAGUCAUAAAAUAAGACUAUAGAGUAUAUUAUAAACAACAUUAUCAAAUUGAGAAAAGUGAUCCUACAACACCAGUGGAACUUGAUAAAGCCAAUAUCAUGCCUGAAAGCUCUAUCUGGUCAUAAUCUCCUUCAGGCAUUUCAUCGAAAGAUAGGCUUAUCUUUCUGGCAACGAUCAUCUACUGAGCCAUAGCCUGAUAGCCGAGACCAUGAAGCUCUGUUAAUCACGCUCUGGCUGCAUGAUCGUGGUUUCUGUCUUCUUAGGGAUCAAGAAUACAGAGGUACGAGCCUAUAGAACAGAUCCUGUUCAAGAAAGGUCGUGCCUAGUUGUCUCAACAACAAGAAUAUAACGCCGAUUUAUCUACACUUCGGAGACGAUGUGGCAGUGGCGGACCUAUGUAGGGCAUUUGGGGUCCCGGGCCACUGCUCAAUUUCCGGCACGCAGUGUAAUUUUUAUUGUUUUUUUUUUUUUUGGUUUUUUCUAUUAGGUGCACCCGCUUGAAGUACAAGGGACACCCCUACUAAAACAGUUUGCGCCCGCCACUGCGAUGUGGGUUGUUGCUUCUAGAUUCUUGGGUCUCCUUU
This 19729-nucleotide long non-coding RNA is filed under the name Lactuca sativa (garden lettuce). RNAcentral describes it as "long non-coding RNA (LSAT_LNC001636)". Lineage: Eukaryota; Viridiplantae; Streptophyta; Magnoliopsida; Asterales; Asteraceae. The record is from RNAcentral.